UAAUUUGUUUGGCGGGUUUUCAGCUGGAAGUGUCUUGACUACAGGAACACGGUAAUCUUUUAUGACGUUUAUAUUUUAACGUGGCUCUUUAUAAAACCAAAAGUCAUUGUUUUAUGAUCCAUUUUAUUUAGUCUACGGGUUCCCGAGCCGUCUACUGAAAACCAACAAAACGUUUUUAAGAAGUCUGAAGAGGGGUAGACAUCUAAUUUUAAUCAAAUAAAACGUGAAUGAAGAAGAUACUACGGUACUAUUCCACUCCAUAGGUGGCUGCUAUGGCUAUGCACCUGCAAUCACCAUGAUCUGACGGCAAAGGGUGAAGAUUAUUUCUCUGCUGGUUUAGGCAGUGAUGAGAAUCGCUCUAUGGAUUGUAUUUGCAUGCUCCUUCUUUGAUCUGCCGGUCCUUCUCAGGCUGAUCUGCAGUGUUUGGGCAGUGCUGCAUUUCGUGUAAUUUGUGUCUCCUGGAAUCAACAAAUUUUGGGACAAGCCAAACUAGGUUCCUCUCAAAAGCAGGGCUUCAUUGUGGCAUUAAAAUCCAUGAAGGGCAAAGUGGUAAUGGUUCCCAUGGUCUGAUUGUCAGAACUAGAUUUGUGCCAAUUGCAGUAGAGUUGCCCAUAUCACUUCUCCUUGGAAAAUCAAUGCUGCCAUCUUGAAAGGCAUUUCAGUUAAUGUAUUAAUGGCUUUUGUUCAAACGUGUGGUUAUGCAGACAUAAAAUGCUUACUUUGGGCAGUACCAUAUUCAAACCAAUUGAGUAUCAAUAUUUAUAGUCUUAGGUAAAUAAACAAUGUAAUAUAGCCAUACUGUUAAAAUCUUAAUUUAUCACCGUACUUGGGGAAAAAAUCUUGGCUGAGAAAUAAACUGACGCAGUGAAUGCAUUUUAGUUGUCUAUUAAUAGAUUCUGUUUGGAAAAUGGUUUUUGUA
Long non-coding RNA from Gadus macrocephalus (Pacific cod), 919 nucleotides. RefSeq lists it as uncharacterized. The transcript is spliced from 4 exons. Lineage: Eukaryota; Metazoa; Chordata; Actinopteri; Gadiformes; Gadidae. The record is from RefSeq and is a predicted model, not a curated record.